Molecule: long non-coding RNA, 783 nt
Filed under: Homo sapiens (human)
Lineage: Eukaryota; Metazoa; Chordata; Mammalia; Primates; Hominidae
Description: HSALNT0155013
Source: RNAcentral
UGGAGAUGCAGCAGUGACCAUGCACUCAGGACCACCGCCCAGAGGGAGCCCAGGGACCCUGAGUAACAGCUGGCUCUGAUGUCCUAAGGAGACCCCAGCGCCAUGACAAACCCAGGGAUCUCUGAUUGCUCCCAGCCUGAGUCGCUUCAUAUCCUACAUGGGAGGCUGAAUCCACAAUCCCUCCUGCAGACGUACCCUCUCCUCUCCCUUGUCCCUGCAGAGGCCAGGGCUGCAGGGGAUGAGGCUCGCCCCUAGUACUGCAUGACCCUGUCUACAGGUUUGGAGGCUCCUCAGCUCAGCCUCGGCCCCUGGGCUCUUGUCUUGCUAAGCCCAGAGACCCAGCUCCCACUGGGCUUGGUGGCUGCUUGAAGUGGAUCAUGCCUUGCACCUCCCCCUCCUCUCCAGAAUCUUCUAUGUGUGCCGAGACUCCCAGAACAGGAGACAUUUGGCUACAUCACCCAAGAUGGUGCCCACUUUCCAUUGCCAUGGGUCUAAGAAAAGGUGAAGUUCCCUCCCCCAGCCCUUCCCUGCCUGCUGAGGGAUAGGACAUGUGUCCCCAUUUGCAGUGGAUGCAGGGAGGGCUGGAGAAAUGCUCUGUGCUCUGAGUAAGGCAUGUUCCCCUGUAAGUGUGCCCAUGACAGCUUGUGUAUGCAUAUGUGCAUGUAUGGAUAUGCAUGUUUGUUGGCAGGGAUCUGUGCACAUUUGUAGGUCUGCCUUUCUACCCGUCUUGUGUUCUGGACUGUGCACAUAUCUGCCUUGACAGACUUAUCAAUGUUCACACAC